CCUACGGGUGGCAGCAGUGAGGAAUAUUGGUCAAUGGGCUUACGCCUGAACCAGCCAAGUCGCGUGAAGGAAGAAGGAAUUCGUUCUGUAAACUUCUGUUAUAAAGGAAGAAAGACGGAUGGAGGAAAUGACAUCCGAGUGACGGUACUUUAUGAGAAAGCCACGGCUAACUACGUGCCAGCAGCCGCGGUAAUACGUAGGUGGCAAGCGUUAUCCGGAAUUAUUGGGCGUAAAGAGGGAGCAGGCGGCAGCAAAGGUCUGUGGUGAAAGACUGAAGCUUAACUUCAGUAAGCCAUAGAAACCGGGCAGCUAGAGUGCAGGAGAGGAUCGUGGAAUUCCAUGUGUAGCGGUGAAAUGCGUAGAUAUAUGGAGGAACACCAGUGGCGAAGGCGACGAUCUGGCCUGCAACUGACGCUCAGUCCCGAAAGCGUGGGGAGCAAAUAGGAUUAGAUACCCCUGUAGUC
RNAcentral lists this ribosomal RNA (464 nucleotides) under uncultured bacterium. RNAcentral describes it as "partial 16S ribosomal RNA". It matches the Rfam family "Bacterial small subunit ribosomal RNA", at positions 338 to 795 of the family's 1533-position model. The record is from RNAcentral.